CAAGUAUCUGGUGGAAAACCACGUCCUGUCUCCUGGUUUAUAGCGGGGUGUGGGUCUUCUGUAACAAUCAGCUUGUUAUUUGGAGGUUUGAGACGCUUGUUGUAGUCUUUGGAGGAUGUAUGCCACCACCUGCUCGCUAUGCCGGAACCAUUCAUCCACCACAGGUGAGUUGGUGGGAGUGGUGUUGCAAGGAAACAGGGGUGGCUGAUAACCCAGUGCGCACUGAGUGGCUGAACGGCAAAGGGAGUUUUGGGCAUACUCUGCCCAGGAACUGUGACCAGUCUGCAGGGUUUUGGCUACAAAAAGAGCGGAGCAAGUGGCCUAUCUCCUGGUUGGCCCAAUCAACCUGGCCAUUGGACUCUGGGUGCUAUCCCAAGGUGAGGCUGACUGUUACUCUGUGUAUUUCCUUGAAACUGGCCCUGAGGGGGUGCUAGAGAUCCCAUGUGGCAUGACGCGAUAUUCAUAAUGGCCAGUCGCUGUACUGAAUGCCAUUUUCCACUCGUCCCCUUCCCGUAUCCGCACCAGGUUGUAUGCACUUCGGAGGUCCAUCUUGGUGAAGUACUUGGUGGUUCGCAGCUGUUCCAGGGCUGAGGUGACUAGUGGAAGGGAAUAUGAAUACUUGACUGAGCACUGGUUGAGCCCCCAAUAGUCAAUAUAUGGUCUGAGGCUGCCCCCCUUCUUGGCCACAAAGAAAAAGCUUAUUGCAGCGGGUGACGUGGAGUGAUGGAUAUUGCCUUGUUGCAGUGCCUCAUCCAGAUUGAAAAGACUGAAACCAGGAAGCAAAGACCAAUAAUAAUGACUUGGAAAUGACAGAACACAUUACUUUUCAGUGAGGCUGAAACAGAAUGAGGCUUAUAUAGGUGAACAGUGAUGAGUCAGUGAUUACAAACAGGUUUGUGGCGUUAAAAGUCCGGUGACUGUGAGCGUGGAAGUGUAUGUCUGCUAUGUAUGCUGGGAAAUGGAGUUCGAGUUGCGGUUUAACCUAAUAGCUGUAAUCUUACAGCAUGCUGCUGUGUAGGCUAGUGUCCAUCUUCAUCAGAUGUGGCUCCAUGCACGUACAAUUAUGAAAGACACAAAGUAGCCCACUAACUCUAGCUAGCUAUCUGAAAUACAAGUAUCAUGUCUUGUUUCUUCCCAUUUGUAUAGUUUGUUUACUCUUUCUGUAAGCUGCAUGAUUUUAUUAUUUAUUAUCUAAACUUUGCAUUUUGUUCUCCAGCCUGUCAACACUUUAGGCACGAGCCAAAUUAUGUGUUAGCACACUAGUCAAAACACAUAGCAAUAUGUUAAUAUGCACAAGUUAAAUACAAGGAAAUAACACAGUCACUAGCUUCCCAAUAAAUUAGUGAAUAAAUAAUCAAUUCUACUGUCAAACUUCUUUAUUACCUAAAGAUGAGGCAUGAUGAUUAUUGAUGUAUCUGAGCUGGUAUAUAACCUAGGUGUACAAAUUUCCUGCUAAUUCUCACCUGACACCCCUGACACAGGGUUCACUGUAAAGGCUGACUGUGUAUUACUAUUACAGCAUUGUCUGUGGGACUCACAGAAGGUCAGGAACAUUACAUUUGAGCUUUUUUGUCCCAUGCCUCAAUAAUCAUGUUUUUUUUCCUCUGACUUUUAAUAAAAAAUUUACUUAUUACAUCACAACCUUGUGCAUAAAAGAAGGUCCAACCACUAUCAGUGGCUUUGUUUACAUGCACUUCAAUAUUCCAAUAUUAAUCAAAAUUUGACAAUAUUCUAUUUAGCACUGAGUCAUGUAAACACCACAGUCCUAUUGCCUGAUUCAGAUUAAGACAAUGCUCUGAUUCCCCAAAUUCUGAUUUCCAGCCCUGGAAUACGCCUGUUUUAAUCGGAAGUUUGUUGCAUGUAAACACCUUAUUCAGAAAAUCCCUUGAAAAGAGAGAUAUGUGCAUGCUCAGUUCACAAGGAAUUGUGGGUGCUAACAGAUGCUUCGCUGUAGACUAGGUAUUUAGGAAUAGCAACUCAGGCAUACUUACAGCAACCAUGUAUACAGGAAUAUUCGAUGCCUGUAUGCGUAUAAACAUUGUAUUCGGAAAAUGGCUGCAACCUGAAUAUAGACCCUAAACAGAAUUUGAUGUGCAUGUAAACAUAUCCAAUGACUGCUGCAUAACCAGCUUUGAGCCUGAUGGUGAACAGGGAGGAUACCCCAACAUAAGACCCUGUUAGGCCUGUUAUAUUUGCUAUGUAGUCAAGUACAGAUAUGUGACCGCAAGUGCAUAAGUUGAUGCUUGAGUCUUUUACUUCCAGUACAUACCUUAUGCACAUUCUGGCACCCUGUUGGAGUCAUACACUGCUAAUUUGCAAGGGGGCUGUAAAGUAAAAGCUGCAGUGUGACAGAGAUAUGAAAUGACUUCUAUUUUCAUAAAUGCAUUCUUCUGCGAUUUGGAUGUGCCUGAGGUAAUACUCACAUAUAGCGCCUUUAUUGGCAACACCUGGAACUUUGCUCCACAUUAUAAACUUUGGACACAUGCAAAUUCUACGUGCAAAGGCUGGGAAUGUCCCUUUCUGUGCUAGGAACUCAUGACCUGAUCAGUAGUCCAGUUGUUUUCAAUUGUUUGCUGAUUAGUUAGCUACCAAAAUAUUAGCCAGAAAAUAGUUUGUUGUUAUGUUUUUAGCUUGCUAGCUAAGGUUAACCAGUUAGUUCAUGAACAGUGUGUGUUUCUCGGUUUUAAUUUUUUUUCAGGUCUUAGACACACUUAGAUCACAGCACUUAAUCACUUUUGGCAUUUGUGUUUUUGCAUUUGUGACACUGUGCUUCUUAGCUAGCAUGCCAAUAUUAUAUAGCUGCUUCUGUAACACUCUGUUUGACUGACUUUAGUCUUCUGAGUAGGUAUGUGUCGGCCAGGUGUGUGUGAAUGGAAGCUCUGGCCUCUUUCAGAUUCCGUGAUUUAUUUUACAGUCAGCUCUGUGUGAGGUUUUUCUCUUGUUGCAUUCCUUUGGUCCACCUGUGCUCACUCGGCAAAAUUAACUACUUGACUCUAUGACUUCACUGCAUAAAACUGAUGCUUCACGGUAUUGUUGGCAUGCAGGCUGUGUGUGGCAUGGCUGCAUUAGAUAUAUCAAAAGGCCAUUCUGAUAGGAGCUAAAGAUUUUAGAGGAUGCAGCUACUUCUACUUUUUGUUUUUGUUUUCGAAUUGAAAGUGAGAAACACAACAUACACAUAAAUGUUGUUUUCAAACCCGGUACCCCCAAUUUCUCAUUAUUUAUGCAGUGCUGGAUAUGGCUUGAGUCCAUAUGCUUACAUAUACUAUAUGGUCAAAACUUUGUGGAAAUUCCAGAUUUAGGCCCCCUUUGUGGUUAUAAUAACUUCCACUCUUCUGGGAAGUCUUUCUACUAGAUUUUGGAGUGUGGCUGUGGGGGGAUUUGUCCAUUCAGCCACUAGAGCAUUUUGAGGCACAGCACUGAUGUUGAGUGAGGAGGCCAGUUGGCAUUCCAUUUUAUACCAAGGUUGUUCAGUGAGUUUGAGGUUAGGGCUUUUUGCAGGCCACUCGAGUUCUUCCACUCUAAAUUGACAAACCUUGUUGUCAUGCUGGAACAGGUUGACGUCUCUUCACAUCCCUUGCUAUUUGGUGCACCCUUGGUGGUGACAUUCAUUUCAAGGAGCUUACUUUCAUUUUUAUGUUUUUCAGACACUUUCCAGCCUUGCUGUGAAGCAUCUGUCAUUACUAUUUUAAUUUUUUUCUGUUAUGAAUGACAGCCAUUGAGCAUUCAAUCAAUGCUGUAAUGGUCUGAGGUAAAGCAUUUUACCACUGGAGCUGCUGCUGUCAACAUCACUUCCUGUAAUAGUGCUUUUAACAAGAGACAAUGUCACAAAGCAGCUUUACAGGAAUCCGGAUGUAGAUUUAGAUCCCUAAUGAGCAAGCCAGAAGCAACAGUGGCAAGGAAAAACUCCCAGAGACCAGAUGAAACCUUAAGAGGAACCAGACAUGAAACCUUAAGAGGAACCAGAUUGAAAAGGGAACUCAACUUCUUGGUGACCCCAGAUAAUGCUGUUCUAAGUCGCUAGUCUUCCACAGCUGUAUACUAUAACGUUAAACAGUACAAAGAGAGUCAGGAUCAGAUCAGGCUGCAUAAGUCACUUGCUUUAGAGAGAGAAAGAACAUAUUAUUAGAUAUGUUCUAAUCCUUCGGUGCUUUAGGGAGUGUACAUUGUGAUCAGAGUGGAAGCAGGAACUCCAGCAGGUCUAGCCAUAUAAGAAUAGCUAAAAGAGAGAGCCAAAAGAUAAUACUGGAAUGAAGGCACCCCGGGACAAAAAGCAUCCUGCUUCUCCACUAUCAACAAGCCUAAGUUUUAUGAGGUUGGGUGGGUGACAGCAUUAAAACAUCCCAGUUUACCAAAUCUCUCUGUCCUAUGAACACUCCCCAUCCCCACGUUUGGAUCUGGAGCUUGUUCAUGCACCUGCUGGAGCAUCCAGACAACAGUGCAUUAUAAUAUUCUGACCUAGCGGUAACACAAGCAUGGACUGUUUUUUUUUUCUGCAUCCUGUAGUGAAAUUAUACUCUGAAUGGACAAAUGUUUGUGGAUACCUGUCCAUCAGACCCACAUGUACUUUUUUAACAUCCCAGAUUUCCACAUUUAAUUCCGUCUUUGCUGUUUUAAUAUUAACCAUUCAUUUGGGAAGGCUUUCCACUAAAUUUUGGCACAUGACUGUGGGGAUUUGCCCAUUCAACCAAAAUAAAAUUAGUGAGGUCAGGGUGAGGAAGCGUGGGGUGCAGUCUGCAUUCUGAUUCAUCCCAAAGGUGUUCAGUAGGAUUGAGGUCAGGGGUCUGUGCAGGACACUUGAGUUCUUCCAUGUCAAACUUGGCAAACCAUGUCUUCAUGGACCUCUCUUUGUGCACAGGAGCACUGACAUGCUGGAACAGGUUUGGGCUUGACCCCUUAGUUCAUAGAAGGGAAAUUGUAAUGCUACAGCAUAUAAAUACAUCCUAUACAAUUGUGUGUUUCUAAAUUUGUGAUAAGAGUUUGCGGUAGACUCACACAAGGGUAUGAUGGUCAAGUGUCCACAAGGACAGUGAGGUCAAAAAAGGCUAUCCUAGUAAAUAUUGUCUAUACGAGGUUCAAGUGAGAGCAUACAGUAACCAGAAAGUUGCCUUGGUCCUAGUGGAAGUACUUCUGUCUUCUCAGAAUUAAUUAGGAGGAAGUUACUCAGCAUCCAGUGUCUAGUGUCCUUAACCCUAUUAAGCUGGUUUCUGUCAUCUGACUUUGCUUAAAUACCAUGCUAAUGCCAUGUUUAUGAAUAAUUCUACCCAGAGGUAGCAUAUGUAGAGUAAAGAGCAGCUGGCCUAGAAAAGGGCCUUAAAAUUUGUAUGCAUAGAGCAGUCACAAUUGAUAACAGUAACAAACUGAUAACAGUAAGUCAGAUAAGACUUGUGCUGCCUGGUCCUAACUCGCAACAAUCCCUGAGAGGAUCGUUAGUGAUUAACUAGCCCAUUCAGUGACUAUGAGCUAUGCUGCAAAAAGUGAGAUCAGUAACUUCCCAAGUGGGGUGGAUACCAUCCAACUUUAAAAAUCCAUUCUUGCCCUCAAAAGUACUGAAAUUACCUACAAAGUCCAGGAACCGUAACCUGCUGUAAGCUACACCAUGUAUGCUGCCACAGAAACCUCUGACUAAUGAAGGCAUAUAUCAUUAGCUUCUACAUUAAUAACUAUCUUGGAAAAGCUGCUUAUUCUUAAAACCCCAAGAAAUGUCUGCCUCCCUGACACCUGAACUACUGCUCAUGGUGCCCCUAAAGGCCUAGCAAUUUAGUUUUGCCCUCUGCAGUGAGAGACCUCACAUGAUCCAAGAUGGUGGCAUGAAGUAGUACGCAGCGGCCUCUCCGGAUUCAAAAUGUUUUUUUUUUUUUUGUUUCUUAGCCUGAUUUUUUUUUUUUUUUUUUUUUUAACAGUACAUGGACAUCGGAGCGACCGGUGUUUGUGUAUACCAUCGGCAGACACUGUUGAAAUAUAGAAAUCAUGCAACAACCAACCUGCAUGAUGGUCUGCUUGAGAAGCUAUGCAAUUUUGCUUGCUGUGAGGACCAGGCCUCCAGCCCUCAGUGUCACCUGAUGCUGGUGGCUGGGGGAGGGGAUGUCAUAAGCAGUGUGUGAGAAAGGGGAAGCACGGCAAAAGGGCAUGCUAGGCUAAAAACAAACCCUAGCCAGUUGGCUCUCCCAUCAAUUCUGCUCUUCAGUGUCUGCUCCCUGGACAAUUAAUUCGACCCGAUCCAACUCCAGCAAUCUACACGGCGUGAGUUUAGAGACUGCUGUGUCUUUGUCUACUCAGGUAUGUGGCUGCCAUUCAGCUAGAGGCUCUCCUCAUUACGCGGCAACAGAAAUGCAGCUCUGUGUGGUAAGACUGGCAGUGGUGGCUUAUGUGUUUACAUCAACACUGCAUAGUGCAAGAACCCUGUGCUAAUUUCUAUUUACUGCUCACUGUGGAGUUUGUGACCGUUAGGUGCAGACCAUUUUAUUUAACAUGGGAAUUCACCACUGUCCUUAUAAUCGGAGCGUGCAUUCCCCUCAGUGCUAAUAUGAAGGUAGUGCACUGUGAACUGUUUGGGGCUAUGAACAAACUGCAGAAUACACACCCUGAUGGACUGUUUAUUGUUGCCAGAGGUCAAUGCUCCGUAAAAUCCAUUAACGUGGAUCUUGCACAGAGAGGGGCGAACGCUCUGGAUCUUGUUUACACAAACAUCCCCAGCGCAUACUGGGCAGAGCCCCACCCCCACCUCGACUACUAAUCCCAUCAUACAGACUACUCAUCAGAUGUACCAAACUGAUUUUGAAGUAGGAGAAAACCUGGCCAGCAGGAACCAUCUCUGCUCUUCAGGACUGUUUUGGGCACACUGCUUGGUACAUGUUCAGGGAGGCUGCAACUUAUAGCGACUCCAGCAGCUUAGAGGAAUACACAGCAUUAGUGACCAGCUACAUCAGCAAGUGCAUUGAUGGCAUCACUGUCUCCAAGACCAUCAUAUUCAGACCAGAAGACUGUGGAGGUGCAUGCUCUGCUGAGGACCUGAGUCUAUGCCUUCAGAGCAGGAGAUAAGGCGGCACUAAGAACAGGGAUGGCCAAACUGUCCCGGGCCAUCAGAGAGGCAAAGCAUGCAGAAAAUCCACAGCCACUUCCUGGACAGUGGCUAUAUGCAGCGCAUGUGGCAGGGCACUCACGCCAUCAGCAAACAUAGGACAACAUCACCCACCUGUGACAGUGAUGCCUCCCUUCCAGAUGUGCUGAACAACUUCCACGCUCAGUUUGGUGAGGAAGACCAUCCCUCUUCCCAACAACCAGGUGCUGUGUUAACCACGGCUGAUGUGAGGAAGAUUCCAUGCCGAGUCAACCCACAGAAAGCUGCUGGACCAGACAGCAUUCCUGGCAGAGUGCCCAGAGGAUGUGCAGACCAGCUGGUGGAUGUUCUCACUGACAUCUUCAAUGUCUACAUGAGUAGAGCUGUUGUUCCAAUGUGCUUCAAGGCCACCACCAUUGUCCCUGUACCGAAUGAAGCACGAAUCAAGAUCCUGCUGCCCCCCUCACUUUGCCCCUGCAAUUGGCGUUUCAUCCCAACUGCUCAACAGAUGAUGCCAUAGCCACCACCCUACAUCUGGCCCUCACCCACCCGGAUAGAAAUUACACCUACGUUCGGAUGUUGUUUGUAGACUUAAGCGUUCAACGUGAUCAUUCCUCAGCACCUACAGUAUCUCACAAAACUUGACACCAGCUUCAUAAUUUGACCCAACUGUAUGACCCUGGAAUGGCGUUGGAAUGUCUUUUCUUAGAAGACCAUUGCCAGGGAUGUGUGCAACAGCAGGGAUGCACUGAUGGAUAAAGUCUGUUUGGAUUUCAAGUACCAGUGGAUUUGCUCAUAUACACAAGGAUUCUGGACCAAGUUCAUAAGGACCAUUUACGGCAAGUGCACCGUGAGCCAAAAAUGACCCAAUUAUAAAUAGCAAGAUUAAAAAAAUGUAUGGUAUUUGGAAUCUGGGGCAGAAAAGGCCCAGAUGUAACCAAUGCAUUUGUGGCAUUUCAGUUUUUGGAUGAAAGUUACCCAGGUUUACAUGGUAUUACAAACUCUAGAGUUGUGGCAGUGUUCUGGUGUUCAGAUUCGGAUGAUUUAUUUCCUGUCGUUGCAUGAUGCUAUGUGGGUCAAAUGAAAUGGUAAGUGUGGGACAGCAUUUGGCCAUUACUCAUCUGCUAUCAAUAUAAUCUUUAACUCAUCUGAAUGCCACCUAUGAUGUCAUCUCUGCGGGGUGCAUGAUGAAAUAAAAAACAACAACCCAAAAACAUUGUAUUAGGCAGUAAGUGCGCUAAGAUACCAAUAACUGUUUUAUAACAAGGGUGCAUACUUUAUUUAUUUUUUCUUUUA
This is a long non-coding RNA of Ictalurus punctatus (channel catfish), 8353 nucleotides long. The record is from Ensembl. Lineage: Eukaryota; Metazoa; Chordata; Actinopteri; Siluriformes; Ictaluridae.